CGAGACAGGUGCCCCGCAGGGGGCUUAAUAGGGAAGUCCGGUGCAAUACCGGCGCGGUCCCGCCACUGUAAUGAGGAGCAAGCUCAAUAAGCGUGUCCCCACGCUGCCACUGGGAGUAAUUCCGGGAAGGUUUGAGUGCGCAAUGAUCCUGAGCCAGGAGAACUGCCUGUCUG
RNAcentral lists this non-coding RNA (173 nucleotides) under uncultured Anaerosporomusa sp. The record is from RNAcentral. Lineage: Bacteria; Bacillati; Bacillota; Negativicutes; Acetonemataceae.